CAACAAAGCCACCCUCACAAUGGAAUGUUCCAGAAUCCACUACAAACAUGACAAGCUGUCCUAUCUACUGUCAUGCUUGAAGUCACCAUCCCAUCAUGACAGUCCCCCUUACAAAGCCCAGGCUUGGCCUCAGAUUCUUCAGGCAGCAUUUCAGGAGGACAAGGAGAAGGAGGAGGAGGAAGAUGAGGAUGAAGAGGACGAGGAGGAUGAGGACAAGGACAAGGAGGACCAUUGGCCCCGUGGCUGGCAACUUUUCAGGAAAGGAUACCUGAGAACAAGUGUCCUGGGUUCUACCCUUAAGGCAAAGUGCA
Molecule: long non-coding RNA, 311 nt
Filed under: Rattus norvegicus (Norway rat)
Lineage: Eukaryota; Metazoa; Chordata; Mammalia; Rodentia; Muridae
Description: long non-coding RNA NONRATT022599
Source: RNAcentral